This is a long non-coding RNA of Arvicola amphibius (Eurasian water vole), 1270 nucleotides long. RefSeq lists it as uncharacterized. The transcript has 4 exons. The record is from RefSeq and is a predicted model, not a curated record. NCBI's taxonomy places the organism in Eukaryota, Metazoa, Chordata, Mammalia, Rodentia, Cricetidae.
UGAGAAAGAUUUGAUUUACUCAAAGAAGUAAUUAAAUCUGGCGGCCUACUGCUAAUCAAGGUAGCAUUCAGCACUAUGAGCUGGAAAGUUCUUUCUCCCCUCUUUGUAAAUGCCUAAACCCUGGGCACCUUAUUAUUCAAGUUUCUAAUUAAAAAAAGAAAAAGAAAAAAAAAGGGGGGGAACAGGAGCAGUUCAAUCACCUGCAGCAAUUCAUCUUGCUCACAGCCUAAUGAAAGAUCGCAGGGUCUCGAAGAUGCUCCCCCCACACAAACGCCAGUCACCACCAGGCUCCACAGCCAGUCAACCGGGAGUCCUGUGUCCUUUACCUCUUGCCGACUCAACUGUCACACUGCAUCGUUGCUGCUAAACUGCACAGAAGGGCCGCUCCGAAUCAGGGUGACCUUAUUUUCAUUUGGAGAGAGGCAUGAAAUUCUAUCAGUGUGACAACCAAGGAAGGAGUUGGAUUCCUCGCCGACGACCUUGUCUUGAAGCUUAGUCUUUAAGUUCCUGUGACCUGUACGUUCAGCGAUGCAGCCAAGCUGAUGUUGGCUUCCUUCAAGGCGAUUCGGCACAGCAUCAGGCUUACCUCAUGUUUCGCUGAAAAACUGGUUCUGAAAAGCAGCCUCAAGAUGACAUUCUGGGAUGGAGACCGAUGUGCUGUGCAGCACGGGAGGCAGGAACAGGGAAAGGUGGCCAAGCGGUGUUAAUGCAAAUGUGUUCCCGGGCUUACAUGCUGGCACACCAAGUGGACACCCAGCCAUCUGAAUCCGGGCCAGUGAAUUUGGCACAUCUUCGGCUGGCAGAGCAGAAGUCCAGCGCAGCAUCCUGCUGCCGUUGGCAUGCAUACAGCUGUCGUUCUUCAUCUGGCUCCCUCUGCCACCGCGGACACUCAACAGGUGCUGCCAGGGACACAGUGUGUUUGGCAGCUGUCAACUUUCAAUAAUCAUCUCUGUAGCAGAUCCCACUCAGUUUUCCCAUCCCACUUCUCCCCCUCCACACCCUUUCCCAAACCCCAGCACCAUUUGGACCAUUGCAGAAUGCAGUUAGGUAAGGACGCUGUUGAAGGCCCGAGGUCAUCUGGAGACAGAGCCUGCUGGGCCACAGCCCGGUUGCGCCUUCUACUGCUACAAGCUACAGCUCUUUUGGGUUGAUUCAGCCAUCUUUCCUUAUUCCUCUUUCUAGGUCAAUUGAAUUUAGGUUUUAUUUUAUUGGGAUGUGGGUAAAGGUUUAUUUUGCCUGAUUUAAUUUCACACUGUCGCGUUACCACCCG